RNAcentral lists this long non-coding RNA (788 nucleotides) under Sus scrofa (pig). RNAcentral describes it as "lncRNA (ENSSSCG00070000469.1)". Lineage: Eukaryota; Metazoa; Chordata; Mammalia; Artiodactyla; Suidae. The record is from RNAcentral.
UGCUACCAUUUUGUCUAUCUCCUAAUCUUCAGAGAGUUUAUCGGUUGAGGUAGAAGACUAUCAGCAUCUAUUCCUUUGCUUUAUCCUUUCCCAUUGUAGAGAAAAAUAAGCACAAUUUCUUUAUAAGUAUUAAAGGCCUUAUAACUUGACCAACAUUCUCCCAGUGACCUUCUAUGUGAUAAUGUAGACCCGUGUUGAUUUCUGGGGCUAAAGCUUAUGUGAAUUUUUAUGAAGGAAAUUUCUUGACAUUUUCUAGAACUUCAGGAUCAUCUCACUAAAGCAUUUUCCCUGUUUCAUACCAGGAGUGACAUGCCAGUGGGGAGUGUGACUGCCAUGAUUAAUAUGCUUAACCCUGAAGAGCUGCACCUGUAGUUGAUAUGAGUGAAUCUUUAUUGAAAUAUAAUUUUUCUACAAUAAAAUUGUCUAACUUUAAUCAUACAGUCUCUUCUCAAUAUCAACCAGCCCUGACUACAGUCAACCAGCGUGUUGUUCUUGUCUUUCCUUUCUUUGGGAACACCGUGUCUGCCAGAAUGGAAGGACUGAUUUCCUAGAUUGCCAAAGAAUCGACACUUCAGGGAUAGCGAUCAUGUUCCAGCAAGAAGGCCAACUAAGUUAUGCUGUUACACAAACCUGAAUAUGCUGAGUAAAUUGUACUUUUAAAAAACACGUGACAAGGAAUUCCAAAACCAGCAGGAGAGAGAAGAGACUCUCCAGUUGCCAAAAACUAGAGAAAGCAUAAAGCAAAAUAGUAAGUAUGUGACCUGCCCUAUACCUAGAACUUAUGUUGU